Molecule: non-coding RNA, 341 nt
Organism: Pelobates cultripes (western spadefoot toad)
Lineage: Eukaryota; Metazoa; Chordata; Amphibia; Anura; Pelobatidae
Source: the annotation of a GenBank genome assembly
GUUUUUAAAUGCAAGCUAUUGUGACACUAGUGAGUGAGUGGUGGCACAGGGCACAGUAUCCACUGUGAGCCUGACACACCCGCUUUAAGGACACUGACUGCUAUUCAAUCUAUAACAGUGAAAAAAGUUUUUUGUUUUUAAAUGCAAGCUAUUGUGACACCAGUGAGUGAGUGGUGGCACUGGGCACAGUAUCCACUGUGAGCCUGACACACCCGCUUUAAGGACACUGACUGCUAUUCAAUCUAUAACAGUGAAAAAAGUUUUUUGUUUUUAAAUGCAAGCUAUUGUGACACCAGAUAUGAGUGGUGGCACUGACUGGGCAAAUGGGCACAGUAUCAACU